This is a long non-coding RNA of Astatotilapia calliptera (eastern happy), 1155 nucleotides long. Lineage: Eukaryota; Metazoa; Chordata; Actinopteri; Cichliformes; Cichlidae. The record is from Ensembl.
UUUCAAGUUUGUGCAGAAAUUGGACAUUUAUUGGUGAAAACAUGGAAACUUUGUCAAUUUUUGCAAAAUAGCCGUUCAGUUUUUUUUCAUAAAACAUAUAAAAACAGAAGCAUAGUAACAAAUACGGGAUCAAUUAUUACACAAACACCAGCAGCCAUAGGUUUAAUAUUUUUAUAUAUAAUUAUUAGUGUCACUAUUAUUACAGUUUUGCGACACACACACACACACACACACACACACACAAUCUGCAUUAAAGAGACAAAAAAGAACAAAGCUUUUUACUGUUAUUGCAGAUAAGUACAACGAAAUCUUUAUGUAUAUAUAUUUGUCAGUCUUUCCACUUUAGGUAUUUAGCUUACUGCACAAAAAAAAUUCAGAAUAUACAGAAAACAUAAAUUAACUUUAUUGGAACUCCAGCUUGCGUUUCUUCCCUGUGGACAACUUAACGCUGCAAGUACUAAAGUCUUAAGGAGGUGGUAAAGAAAAAAUAAGAUUAUAUAUUUCAUUUUUAACAUUAUUCAGUUUACAUAUACAAUAGCUAAAACGAAUUGCUUUUUAAAAUCAAGGUAUGGCCUCACUGAUGUUUUAACUUAUAUGAAAUUAUGUUCUGCUUUGAUUACUGCACACAGUCAUUCAAGCAAUUCAUAUCAAGUAAAAAGCAAGCGUAUAGGACAAAGUUGACUGAUGCAACAUGGAACAUCUGCCACUUGAUUGAUUCCUAAAUCAAAUUGCCCAUAGAAACGACUCAAACUAUGGCUUUUAAAGGAGCUUUUUCACCCUAAUACAUGGCCCAUUAGCAAAUGGCCAUUCAUCAAAUUAACCCUACCUCGAGAGAGCUGCCAGCGUCUCAGAAAGUACAGUGCCACAGUGCUCUCUGUCUCCAGUCAGGACACACUCAGCAGCGCGUCCACUUUGCCAUGACUGUGUUUACCUCAGGAAUACACAAAUGCAGCUCACUGCAGGCUCUAUUAAGAAAACGAGACCAAACCUCUCCUGAUCCACAGAACACAGACUGCUUCACCCUCUUGUGUUAUUUACAGAAUUUAGUCUCAUUCCCUCGUAGUCAUUUUGUAGAUAUUUUUUUUACUAAUGCAGAAUAUUCUACGUUCUACAUGCAGCAUAUGAAGCAUGAAUUAUUUCUCUCCACAUGUGAUU